CAGACAAAUGGCAAGGUUGUGUAGAGAAGCUCCAAAGCAUCCACAGAAGUAGCCCAGUUCAGUACCAUGGCACAUGAAAAACCAGAUUUGCAAGUUUUGGAGGAGAUUAAAAGUGAAUUAUCAGACUGCUCAUGCAUAGAUGAUGAAGAUGAUAAUGACUUUGACAUUGGUCAUGUGAGCCAAACUUCCUGUGACAGUGAAAUGGAGCAAGAAUUGACCCAGACAGGCACAAGGAAUGCAGAACUCCUUGAUUCAGAAUGCAACAUUCAACAAUUGAUUUACCACUGUCUAAUUGAUGUUACAUUUGGUGACAGAGCACAAGUUGAUCAGCAUGGGCAUUCUACACAAGAACAAAGCAGAAAUUCCAAAUGAAAUGUUCCAAUUUCAAAACAGA
Heterocephalus glaber (naked mole-rat) is the source of this 394-nucleotide non-coding RNA. NCBI's taxonomy places the organism in Eukaryota, Metazoa, Chordata, Mammalia, Rodentia, Bathyergidae. The record is from RefSeq and is a predicted model, not a curated record.